AACACUACUAGUCUAGAAUCCAAGGAUCUUUCCACUUGGAAAGUAGCACACACUGCUUUGCCAAAAGGUAGGAUGGUUUGCAUUGAAUGGAUGUGAGUAUAUAAACACAAGGAAGGGUUGCGACCCUUGAGUUGAGGAUCAGUGAUGUGUCCAAAAGAGGCAUCCCUUGGAACCUUGUGUCAACAAAGUAAGGGAUGUGACUUAUGGAUCACUGAGGUGGCGGAGACUCAGUGACCCUUGGUGGAGAUUGAUGAAGUGUCGAAGGGGUGCCACCUAAGGAUGGUCUAAACCCAAGGUUUAGCCCUAACCCAAGGAUUAGUACUAACCUUAAGCCCAAACUCACCACUUAGGCUCAACCUUAGCCCAAGCUAAGUAUUUAGGCCAUUUUUGGGGUGCGACAUCACCCCCCCUCCAAUAGUGCUACAUCCCGGAGCACUCUCCUCCUCACUCCCUUGAGAUGGAUAAAAUGUCUCCGGCGGGUAGUACUUCCGUAGGCGAGACCCGUUCACGCGAGUAGAAAGAGAAGUUCCUUCCAUAUCCUUGAGUUGCACCGAGCCGUUUGGAAACACAGCUUCCACUCGAUAUGGUCCAAUCCAGCGAACUCGAAGUUUGCCAGGUCGCUUCCAAUACUUACUCUCGUAGAGAAGUACUAGGUCACCCUCGUUGAAGAGCUUGAGACGAAGGAAUCGGUCAUACCAUGCCUUCCUUCUUUUCUGGAUAGCUUCCCGUUCUUCUUUGGCACCACCACAAUGGGAGAGACCCACUCGCUCCCCUCCACCUCCUCAAUGAAGCCGGCAGCUUGAAGUUUGUCGAUGUCCUCCUUCACUACCUUUGCAUAGCGCGGGUUGAGGCGGUAGGCUCGCUGGCGACGAGGAAUAGCACCGUCAACCAGGCAAAUUCGAUGUUGAGCGAUUUCGGAAUCCACGCCUUUCAGCUCGUCGUAGCUCCACGCAAAGAUGUCGCGGAACUCGAGGAAGAGCUGAUGGAAGAGUUCUCUGGCAUCUGGUGAAAGCUGAGCUCCCACCUGCAGUUCCCUCCUCUCAGAAUUUCCAUUGAACUCAACGAGAAGGGGAACACAGAGUGGGGAAGUGAGGAAAUCAGGUUCAGAAGGAGAGGAGUUCACCUCUAUCCCAGCUGGAACCUCUCUGAUCUUCAACUCGGCUUCACGACUGUGGAAAAAACGAGCUGGAAAGUUGUCGAGUUCAGGGUCGUACUCCACCGACUGGAGUCUUGAAACCUCCACAGCGUUGCACUCCACAACGAGAGGCACAUCCUCCACCAGGUCCUCAACUUUCUGGAGCAACUCCUGACCGAGAAACAGAUGUUCCUCGGCUUCCUCCAGCUUGUCCAGUUGCAGCACCAGGAACCGGGUGGUGACCAGAAACUCUCCCACGAUCAGAGCAACUGUAGGGAUAAAUCCACGAACCUGGUGGUAAACUCCAGGAAGUAUCUCCAACAUCAGGCCUGGAAAGCCGAACUCCUGCACAUCAUACUCCUCGGCCACCGCAGCAGUCAUGAAGCAGGUCUGCACCUCAUGUAAAACCUGAGCUCGGAGGGUCCCCACAUCCACCAAGCGAACGUCCACCACUUGAGCCGAAGGCAAUGUGAUCACUUGGAGCAUGUAGCAAGGGGGAUCAAGCUCUCCUCUUCGAAAAAGGUACAGCCUGCCCCGCUGUCCGAAUUCAUCUGUUGUGACCACAGUCUCGUGCAAGUAGUUCAUCUCAGCAUUAGUAGUCCUCAGCCAAUCUGAUCCAAGGACAACAGCAAUGUCUCCUGGUCGCUUAAUCACCAACAGGUUCACGAUGAAGCGUUGGUUGCCGAGGAAGAGAAAAACAUCCUCCACCUUGCCGUAAAUGGGAAAAACGUCCCCAUCAGCACAUACGGCCACUUGGUCCUGCUCAGUGAUGGUGAUCCGCAGCCGAGCUGCUACAGCAAAGUCAAUGGUGAUGAAGCUCUGCAGCGCUCCAGGAUCCACCAACGUCAAACAAUCGAGGCCCUUCACAUACCCCAUGGUAAACAGUGAAGCAUCCAGCGCAGGAUCUCCCCGAACGUUAGGAGGAAAAGGAAGUAUCUCCGCUUGGAUCAUAAGGAAAGGAACCUGGGAAGAAGCUCCCAGCCGCUGAAGAAGAUCUUGACUGCUCACCGUUGAGUGGUGAUCGGAUAUGACCAGCUGCAGCUCUUCAUCAGCUCCAUUCUCAGAAACGUUCUCCUCAGCCACGAGCUGCUGGAGCUCCACACCGGGCAUCUCCUCUUCCGACACCUCCUCUUGAAACACAUCCUCCUCAGUGGAUUCAGAUGUAGUAUCGGAGUCUCCAUCUUCUGGUUCCACAGCUACUGGUUUUUCCCGCUUAUAUCCCGGCCUGACAUGCACUUGGAUUGGAAUUCGGAAGUUCCCAUCCCCGAUGGUCAGCACCCCCGUUCCCCAGUUAUGCUCAGCUGAUGCUUGAAGCAGCCAGGGCCGGCCCAGCAACAACGGGUAGUUGAGACCUGCUCCCUCCUUCAUUUUGAGGACCACGAAAUCAAUGAAGAAGUUUACUCCUGCGAUCCAGGUUUUCACACCCGAAACAAGUCCCACGGGCUGAACUCUCCGUUGAUCGGCCAUCCGGACAGCAAAAUGAACUGGCACAGGCGUGGAAGCUCAAACCUUCUCCACGUUUCCAGCGGCAUGAUGUUUACACCGCUUCCUCCAUCGAGCGUGCAACCACGUAUGAGUUCCCCCUGAAUCUCCACAUCCACGCAAGGAGAACUCAUAUCCGCUAUGACAGGCCAGGCAGAGUUCACCACCGCCUCUUUGUGUGCCUGCAUGGCUGUGGAAAUAGCCUUCCUCAAACCCGGUGCCAAAGCUAGAAGCUGAGCAAAACUGAUACUCGGCUUCUGAUUCUUUAAAUCAGCGAGAACGUCGUACGGUGGGGGCUGCAAGUUCGGCACACGCUUGUAUCUGCGCCCCUUCUUCCUUGAUAGCCCGGCCUCGGGAUCUCUCACGCCUUCCUCAGCACUUGCCUUGCCACACUCCAUCCUUCGCUCACCAGUCGCUUGCUGCAGAUGCCCUGUUUGUGAGCCGAUGGCACUCUUUAGCGCCGUUCCACCAAGUGCCGUGGCGCUUCCUUCCAGGGCCUUGGCGGAUGAACCCGCAUCCGCUGCCGCCUUUACCUCCGCGCCCCUUCGCUGCUCGGCCACCACAUCCCUAAUUCCAAAAUUAGGGUUCCUGAGUAAUUCUGAAUUCUUCGCGUGUGCUGGCGGCGUUGAUUCGAAUGCACGGUGCAGCGCUGGUUUGUUCUCCAUUCCCACUUCCUGCUCCUUGAGGCGCCUCCGGAACCUGCGUACAAUCGCCUCUGGAUCAUCCACGUACUCCCCUGGAGCACAAGAUUGAACGCCUCCUGCAUUCUGCUGCUGCUGCACUACUUGUGAGCGUGUGGCCACGUUCAGGCAAGGGCGAUCGGCUUCCAUCUCCCCAGCUCCAAGGUGAAUUCCUCCCGAUUGCUCCAUACUUUGUUUUCCCCUUAAUUCAAAAUUCGAUUUUUGAAAAUUAGGGCUCCCGCCAAUCUGGGCAUUCCCUGUGAUGGUUGUAACUCGGCUGCUAUCCCCUCGUCGAAGCUGGUGCUGAUUCUUUUGCUGCUGCAGCUGCCUGUAUUCCUCCUCUGGUUCAACAUCAGUGUAGACAUCUGCUGCAUAUCUUCCCUCAGCUGUUUGUUGUGCGUUGAACACGCUUGGCUGCAGCAUUUGCCCAGUGGGAUCAAUUGCAUAAGCUUGGGCAUUUGCUGUGUAGUGCUCAUUCCAGCUGAUCGGCUGAACGAAAACAGCCUGAGAGUCAACCACGUUCUUGGCUCUGGUUUUCUGAAGCUUGUGAGGGCAGUUUGCUUGCUCGUGAAGCCCCUGAGUUUGGCAAAUGCCACAAAUUGGUUGAUAACCAAUUUGCUUUCGCGGAUGCGGGCAAUUUGGAGAAAUAUGGCCCACUUCUCCACAGUUGUAGCAUGUCACAGGACCUCUCCUUGGUGGUGCUCGACCCCUUCCUCCUCCUGUAACCCCCGCAGCAUAAACUGGGACCAUCUCACCCGUAUAAACUGGAGCAUAAGUAACCGGUGGAGAGUACGGUUGAGGAAGCAUGUGGAGUUGUUGCUGCUGAGGCAUUCCUCCUGGUGUAGCAUGGAUGUAAGCUGCUUGAACCUGAUUCCCCGGCUUAUAGUGGCAAUCUUCUGAUCUAUGAUUCGCUCGCUUGCAAUGCUUGCAACGAGGUAUAGCAUCUUGCGGGCAUUCGUUGGGAUAAUGCCCGUAACUUCGGCAACGAACACACCAAAUGUUGUCCCUGGUCUUCUGCUGUCGUCAUGGGCUUUGGACUCCCUUAAUCCAAUUGAGCUGGAGGUCCGACAUCUUCUGAGUAAGGGUUUCCACCAAACUUUCUUGUGCUUUCUUCACUUCGGCUUGUACUUCAGCUUUCACAUCCGGAACCGGUGAUUGUUGAUAAAUGCCAUAAGGCAUUUGCUGCUGCAUCAUGGGAGAAGGAACUUGACCAGGUACUGUUGAGUAUGCCAUCUUCGUAUAGUCCAUAGUUCCCAUUCCCGCAGGUGCAACUCCUCCGUGGAGUCCACUUGUUGAAUACAUGGCUGGAUUCGUUGUAGCCAUGUUGGCCAUAGGAUUGGCCGAUGAACUCCCCGAGCUCAUCAUUUGACGAUUCACUCCAAGAUGGGCUUGUUCCCAAUUCCCAGCAAAAGCUAUUGCGGUAUUCAAGUCCGCUGGGCUUUGGCACUUCACGUGAAUCUUCAAAGGGAGGGGAAGACCUCCCACAAAGUAUCUCACUUGCUCUUCUGCCGUAGGUUGUGGAGUUCUCUUGAGCAAGAGACCUUUGAAUCGCAAGGUAUAACUUUGUAAGCUCUCUCCGGGCAACAUUUGGAAAUCAUAGAGGCUAUCCAUGAUCCAUUGAUUGAAUCCAACAGGUCGAAACGCUGUUAGGAACGCUGCUCGCAACGCUACCCAAUCAGCUCCUGCCGGAAUAGUGGUCAUCCACUCCGCCGCCACUCCAAGAAGGGUAGCAGGAAAUAGCUUCCUCCUUUCCACGGCUCCAGCUUCAUCAUUUGCUGUAGUGGUGUUCUCAAAUGCCAUCACGUGAGCGUCUGGAUCUCCAACUCCCGUGAAGGUAGAGUAUUUCAUCUUUGUUGUCGCGGUUGCCAUUGCUUGUGGUGGUUGUUGUUGUUGUUGCUGACCUUGUCCUUGUGCUUGUGGUGGUGAUGGUGGUGGUGUAGGAGGUGAUAUCACAACCUCCUCUUGCUCUUCUUCUUCUUCUUCUUGUUCUUCUCUAGAUGAUCCAACCGGAGAUGUCUCUCGGCUUGGUCUUGGGCUUGUCUCCGGAGUGGGUGUAGGGCCUUGUCUCCUACGAUACCUCUCCUCCCGGAAUAACCUUUGUGCUUCUCUUCUCUCGGCUUCUUGUUGUCUCUCCUCAAGCAAUUUCUGGUACUCGUACUGCGAACGGCGCAUACACACCCCUCCUUUAGUGAAGUCGCCGAGCUGUGUUCGGCUACCGAGCUGUCUUCGGAUUCUUCACUCCAUCGGCAGAGCAGCAAUGUGCAUACUUUCCCGGGCAGUGCACCAGAAAUGAAGCUCGAAAGGAAAACCCCAAGCCCCAACACUACUAGUCUAGAAUCCAAGGAUCUUUCCACUUGGAAAGUAGCACACACUGCUUUGCCAAAAGGUAGGAUGGUUUGCAUUGAAUGGAUGUGAGUAUAUAAACACAAGGAAGGGUUGAGUUGAGGAUCAGUGAUGUGUCCAAAGGAGGCAUCCCUUGGAACCUUGUGUCAACAAAGUAAGGGAUGUGACUUAUGGAUCACUGAGGUGGCGG
RNAcentral lists this long non-coding RNA (5830 nucleotides) under Selaginella moellendorffii. RNAcentral describes it as "long non-coding RNA (SMOE_LNC002459)". Lineage: Eukaryota; Viridiplantae; Streptophyta; Lycopodiopsida; Selaginellales; Selaginellaceae. The record is from RNAcentral.